UGCCCAGCCUGCUCCUCGGACUUAUCUUUUAUUCAUGGACAAGCAGUGUUCUCCGCUUUACCAGGACUCAGGCAUCAAUAUUUCAUCUUGCUUAGCCUGCCAGCACCAUCUCUCUCCUGCUUCCCGCUGGCUCUAGGACCCAGAGGGCUGGGUGUGCUGUCGACCUGCAGCCAUAGGACUCUGGGCUGCUUCCUCGGGCCCUGACCUGUCCUCUAUGCCAUCCAUCUGGCAGAGCGGCCCGACCAGGCAUGGCGUCUUUCUGAGCCAGAAGUCUUGCUCACUUUUUGUCUAUGAACCUGAAUGCUGGAAGAAAAGAAGUGACAGCAGCGGUCAGGACCAGGGCUACUUUGUCCUCACCCGACACUCGCCUGUAGACCCUGAGGCCUCCUGUCUGUGCUCAGGACCCUGAGGGCUGGACUGCGCAUCUGGAGGGGCUCCUGGGCCAUGGGGGGCCUCCUGGAAGGGCACAAAGCCCUGAAAUUCAUGUGCUGGUCCCUCUGUGAAGAGAGUUGCUGUGACCCGCUCAGCUGCAGCCCCAGCACUGCUUGUAGGAUGUGCCAUUGUCACCAGCCUGCUGUCUCCUCAUUAGUUCUCCCUCCUCAGUCUUGUCCAGACAGCUUAGACUUCCUGGUCUCUUUCCCAGAGAGGGAUGAGGAAAUGGCAGCCAGAAGAAGAUGUGCUGCAUUUCUGGGGGGACCACGUGGCCUGCAUCUCUCUUCCUCUGUGGCCUCCACCCUUCUCAGAGUCUGCACCAAGUACUGACGACUCCUCCCCGAUGUCAGCCACAGCCACCCAGUUCCAAGCAGGGGAGGUGGUAGCUUUCUCCUCUGCUGGCCUUAGCACAGCCUUGGGGACCCAGAGGAACUUCAUCAUAUUGAUUCGCCAUUGAUAGAACCCAUCUUUAGGCCACUGGUUCUCAAACAUAAGCAUGUAUCAGAAUUGCCUGGCAGGCUUGUUAAAACCUGAAUUACUGGCCCCAACACCAGCUUCUGACUUAAUAAAUAAGGGAUGGGGGCUGAGAGUUUGCAUUUCUAACAAGUUCUUAGGUGAUGCUGAUGUUGUUGCUCUUUCGGGAUCACACUCUGAGAACCACUGUUGUUCUCAGCAAAAACCUCACUUGCCCUUCCAGUCUAAGGGGGUAGAGGAGGAAAGCUGAUCUCAUUGGGGAGAGGG
This 1173-nucleotide long non-coding RNA is filed under the name Heterocephalus glaber (naked mole-rat). Its description in RNAcentral is "lncRNA (ENSHGLG00100044865.1)". Lineage: Eukaryota; Metazoa; Chordata; Mammalia; Rodentia; Bathyergidae. The record is from RNAcentral.